AUGGUGACCAAUCAUACUGGUUUGCCUGGAACUGAGGGGUUUCCCAGGAUUCAGGGCUUGCAGUGCUAAAAAUCAGGACAGUC
RNAcentral lists this microRNA precursor (83 nucleotides) under Loxodonta africana (African savanna elephant). Its description in RNAcentral is "miRNA (ENSLAFG00000031380.1)". The record is from RNAcentral. Lineage: Eukaryota; Metazoa; Chordata; Mammalia; Proboscidea; Elephantidae.